RNAcentral lists this ribosomal RNA (253 nucleotides) under uncultured bacterium. RNAcentral describes it as "partial 16S ribosomal RNA". It matches the Rfam family "Bacterial small subunit ribosomal RNA", at positions 524 to 776 of the family's 1533-position model. The record is from RNAcentral.
UACGUAGGCAGCAAGCGUUGUUCGGAGUUACUGGGCGUAAAGGGUGCGUAGGCGGCUUUUUAAGUUUGGUGUGAAAUCUCCCGGCUCAACUGGGAGGGUGCGCCGAAUACUGAGAGGCUAGAGUGUGGGAGAGGAAAGUGGAAUUCCUGGUGUAGCGGUGAAAUUCGUAGAUAUUCGGAAGAACACCAGUGGCGAAGGCGACUUACUGGACACAUAUUGACGCUGAGGUGCGAAAGCGUGGGGAGCAAACAGG